UCCCCGAUAGCUCAGCUGGCAGAGCAGGUGACUGUUAAUCACCUGGUCCUUGGUUCGAAUCCGAGUCGGGGAGCCA
Molecule: transfer RNA, 76 nt
Filed under: Magnetococcales bacterium
Lineage: Bacteria; Pseudomonadati; Pseudomonadota; Magnetococcia; Magnetococcales
Description: tRNA-Asn
Rfam family: tRNA
About the family: Transfer RNA (tRNA) molecules are approximately 80 nucleotides in length. Their secondary structure includes four short double-helical elements and three loops (D, anti-codon, and T loops).
Source: RNAcentral